Molecule: ribosomal RNA, 212 nt
Filed under: uncultured bacterium
Lineage: Bacteria
Description: partial 16S ribosomal RNA
Rfam family: Bacterial small subunit ribosomal RNA
Source: RNAcentral
UACGGGGGGAGCAAGCGUUGUUCGGAUUUACUGGGCGUAAAGGGCGCGUAGGCGGCACCGCAAGUCGACUGUGAAAUCUCCGGGCUUAACCCCAAGCUUGCGGUCGAUACGGGCAGGCUCGAGUUCGGUAAGGGAGACUGGAAUUCCUGGGUGUAGCGGGUGGAAUGGCGCAGAUAUCAGGAGGAACACCGGUGGCGAAGGCGGGUCUCUGG